Molecule: long non-coding RNA, 3344 nt
Organism: Callithrix jacchus (white-tufted-ear marmoset)
Lineage: Eukaryota; Metazoa; Chordata; Mammalia; Primates; Cebidae
Source: Ensembl
AUGAAACAGAUUCCCUCAAUGUUCUUCCAGAAGGUUCAACUUGCAAUGUCCAGAGGAAAAUGUGGAGGAACAUGGUUGUCCAGAAGGGAGGAAAAUAGGCCGAUAUUCCUAUUGCAGGACCGUUUGAAGACUGAGUUUCUAGGUGAGAGGAAACAAACCUGGUUACUUGAUUUAGUGAGCAAGGCCCACAAAGAAAAAAGACAAAGACUAGGGAUCCCCCAAAAAUGAGAUGUCAUGAGAAUUGGGACCAGGUGGCACCCAGAAGAACUAGCUCUAAGUGUCAUGUUUCUGAUGGUGACAGGCCUGGUUUAUAAAAUCUCUAACAUGGUCCUGGACUUUCCCUACUUUGUUAACCUAGAGCAUUUUUCUCCUUGCAUAAGGCAAAUUCUUUCAUGAGCUGCAGCCGGUGUGGCAAGACGUCUACAGUUUGGAACUACAGCCAUAAGAAAAUCAACUUGUUGCUGUCACUCUGAGCAGUGAUUUCUGUUUUGUGAGUCAGUACCAGAGACAGGUUGUGGUAAGUUGAGUAGGCAGUAAUUAUGCCAGCUAUUCCUGUAGUGGCACUUGAGAUGCCAAGAAAAAAAGAUAACCUGCUCAGUUGAUCUGAUGUUGUUGUGCCCAAGCGAGUCAAGGAAUGCACCACAUUCUGAUUGAUUUAUGAGUCCUUUAUUGAGCUGGCAACUAGGAGUGCCUAACACCCAAAAUUCUCUCAGCCCCAAAGAAAAAGUUAGGUGAUCUUUUAUACAUUAGUUUUAAUGAAAAGCCCUAGAGUACAUCAUCUUGUCUUAUAUACUACCUACUGACUGACUAAUCAGCGUGGCAUGAGGCCUACAUCACUCAAACCUUUCACUUUUCAAGAAUUAGCCGUUCUCCACCCAGUACCAUGGUGUCCUAGCCCAUCUGCAUUUGUUAGUGGUAAUAUUCUUUGUAUAUAAAGAAUUUUGUUAGUGGUAAUAUUCUUAUGUAUAAUAAAUAUACUUUUUUUUUUUUUUUUUUUUUUUUUGCGGAGAAGUGAUUUACUGAGAGAAAGAAAAAGGAGAUGCAAUAGCUUCCAUGAAGAGUAUGGAAGGGGACCCCAGAGGGGAAAUCCCAGAGAGGAAAGACAGCUUCCACAACAGGAGUGUGGAAUGGGACCCAAGUAUGGAAUCCAGCAGAGGAACAGCAGCUACCACAAUUGUUGUGUAAGGGGACCCUAGAGAGGUAAGUCAACCUGGAUGAGGGAGACAGACAGGUUGAAUGAAAUAGUCUUUACAUUACCCCUGGCCAAGAAAAAGAGUUCCCUUAAACUUCUGCUAGAGUGAUUGACUUUUGACCUUUUCCCCUGCCUGCCAAAAUUAAAACAGAAACUGUUAAAACUCCUGGAAGGAGAGGCACGGGAGAGGGGUAUGGCUCUGGGAAGUUUUUGCCCUUAAAACGACACCCCCUUGUGGACCCGGAAAGAGAACACUUUCCCUCAUUUCCCCCUCUGAACAGCAAAGUUCAACUUCUGUUGGAACAUGGGCAAUUAUUGCUCUUUACUUCCUGCUGAAAUUGGGCAUUGAAGGGGCCCUGUAGUUGAGGUUUUCUCCACAGGGGAUCCUUUCAGGGGUGCAGGUUGAUCCUCAGGUCCACGAUAGAGCUCAUGAGCCAAGGACAUUUGGGGUUCCAGCAGCAGGAUUAUUUGUAAGCUUUUGGUCACAGGCAUGGGCCACCAUGCUUGGCUAAUUUUGUAUUUUUAGUAGAGAUGGCAUUUCUCCAUGUUGGUCAGGCUGUUCUUCCUAACUCCUGACCUUGGGUGAUCCUCCUGCCUCGGCUUCCAAAAGUGUUGGGAUUACAGGUAUGAGCCACCAUGCUCUGCCAGAAAAGGACUGUUGACAGCAAAGGUACCCCUAUUACAUAUGGGUCACAGAGUUUUAACCUACUCCAGGCUAUCCACCUACCACAGAAAUCUGUAGUUCAUUGCUGGGGUUACCAGAAGUGCCAAUAUGAAGUUACCUAGAGAAACAGCAUUGGCCAAGCAGCUAGGGCCACCACCCUUUCUGGGGAACUCCUUAUGGCCCUUGUUCCCAAUUUUGCCUAACAACUUGCCCACCUGCAAUAUGCUCAAGAGAAAAAUAAAUGUGUUAUCAAACCUGAAUAUACCCUAGGACCUGAAAGACUGUAUAAACUGGAAGAGGUUCUUUAUUUUCCUGAGGUCCUUCAGCAGAAAUAAGGGCACUCCAUAAUUCUUGUCUCUUUGGGAGAGACCAUCUCCAUCAGCUGUAAACAAAAAAACCCUCUUUUGUUGACAAGUUUGUAAAGGCAGUCCAUCUGUCUGUAAUAAUUAAGCCACUCUCCUUAAUUCAGCCAGUUCAGCAAGAAGAAACCCACCCAGCUGCUUGGGAGGCUGGGGCAGAAUUGCUUGAACCUGGGAGGGAGGUUGCCGUGAGCAAAGAUCAUGCCAUUGCACUCCAGCUUGGGCAACAAAAGUGAAACUCCAUCUCAAAAAAAGAAAAAAAAAAAAGAAUUUUCUUUCCAAAUGAUGGCAUAAUUGUGAAAUACUAAAAAGGUAUAUUUUGUAUCUGUAUAAAUAGUAACUAACUCCCUGGUUCUUGUUCUAGGGCUCUGGUCAGGGCUAUGUGCUCUAGACUGCUGAGCUGAAGUUCGCAGAGAUAGUUUUAUAAACAAACUGUUUGGAAGGCAACUGUAAGGUAAUUGGUAGUACUAGGCAAAACGUAGAUGGAAAGAAAACUAAUAUAGAGUGAAAUAAUUAAGAAAUUUGUAUUAGUUGACGGAUACAAGAUGGCUCAUCGCUAACAUCUCGGGAUUGCAGCUCUCAGUGAAAGCUCAGAGAACGAAAGGGCACCACACUUUCAGACAAAUUUUGGUCGCUAACGGAGCAGAAUAUUCCCAGUGGAGGAGCACAUAGGUUGCCAGUGUGACUCUUGGCCGGCGCAGCGGUUUUGCCAGCACCUUGGUGCGGCAGCUCUUGGUGCAGAGUAAACGGGACUGGUUCCCCUUCUGAAUGAGGUUUGGAGGAGCAGCACAGGUUGCCAGCGCGACUCCUAUGGCUGGCACAGCGGUUUUGCCGGCACCUCAGUGUGGCAGCUCUUGGUGCAGAGUAAAUGGGACUGGUUCCCCUUCUGACUGAGAUUUGGAGCUCCAGGAAGGCAGAGUAGCCUAUUAUGGACUCAAAAAGGAAGCCAGACUGGAGAUUCCCAGGCAGAAAAGCACCAUCAGUCUUAACACCGCUAUUUUGGCCGGCGCAGUGGGUUGCUCAUAUUUUGGCCCUGGGAAUUAACAACUUGGACGUCCACUCAGAAACCUAAUUUCCAAAUUGAUAAUUACAAAGAUGACAGGUGGAUAGAUUUACAAUGAUGGGAAGA